GCAGAUGGGGUUGGAUGUUUCCUCCGUAAUCUCCCUGGCCACACUGGAGUCACCCCAGACUGCCCACUUUAGGAAUCUAGUGGGACUAUUUAACUAAAAUCAGGCUUGUCACUGUGCCUACCUUUUCCCCAGCUCAGGACUGGAUUUUCCUGUUUUCUGAGAGUGUCUGUGAGUAAGCCUGGUAAAAGUGUAAGCUUUCCCCACCUCGGAGCCUACUGCAUCAGAAACUGAACACAGAGCCCAGCCAUCUGCCGGAACAUGGCCUCCCAAUGGAUGAUGCAGAGCAAGACAGAAGUUUGAGAAACAUGAGUUAGAGACGCCUGAAGGAGUACCACGGAUCUGCAGAACACAGAACGCUGUGAUGGGAGAAAGAGCAGGCAGGGGGAAGGGACUAAAAGUCAGAAAGAGGUUCAACGCCAUGAAAAGCGAUGAGUUUCUACUCCAUACAAAGUCCCUACUGAGCCAGAAUGUGAGUCAGGAUUGUGACAGGUCAAAGCAGCUGGGAUUCCUGCCUAUCCCCAAGACUUAAGGAGCCUCUUAGCCAGCAAAGGCAAAGAGCAAGCUCUGAUGUGAAUCAGCCUCAGAAAUGGGACGAAGGGGAGUCACUUUGCUGAGAUCCACCUGCAGGUCUCAGUGUGGCUCAUUUUUUUCGCUUUUCACUCCAUUCUUGGUCGAUCAGUUUGUUUGCUGACCGUCAGAUGGUUUGCUGAUGUCCUCAUCGGUUAAUGUGGCCUUAAUCAGAAAGAGGGGUCACUGCAAAGAUAGUUGAGAGCAAUACCAGAUGAGGUCAUCCUGGAUCGUGCAGGUGAACCCUAUAUAGAAUGGCAAUCAUCCUUCUAAACAGACAGGAGGCAGCAGCUGAGACUGGAGUUACAUGGCCACAGUCCACAGAGAACACAGACCCACCAGAAAUCAGAAGAGGCCACGAAGAAGUCUUCCUUUGAACCUUCGGGGAAGCCAUGGCCCCGUUGCUGUCUUUGAGCUUGGACUUUUGACCUGUAGAACUAGGAAAGAAUAAAUUUUCAUUGCUUUCAGCCACCAAAUUUGAGGCCAUUUGUUAGGGAAGCUCUAGGAAAUGAAUACACUUGACUUGCGUGGAAAGGCCAAGGGAUUAGGAGUUCAGCUGCACAAAGUCUUAAACUGUUUGAAUUUUAUUUCUUGGAUGAAUUGCAGACUCUGAGUCACAAGAGUCCCCAUCUGGCUUGAAUCACUUAUUGCUUUAUCAGCCUUCUGAACCUUGCGGUUUGGUCCUCUGGGUGAGAUGAUUCCCUAGGUCAUCUCCAUCUUUGCCGUCCUAGCGUUCUGAUAAAGAUGAGACUGGCAUCUUCGUCCAAAUCUUUGGGGGCGUCUUUGGAGCUGACGCAAUCUAUCACCCUUUAACAGGGUAUCCUUUAAGCAUUUACCAAGGAGGAUGGAGAAAAUUCCCUUCUGAGGUGCAGCAUGAUGCUGUCUUUAGAGCUGUGCACUCCAGUGUUGCAUUUUUUUUCUCUCCCUUAAACAGAGAAAUGAAAGUAAUGGAAUGCUG
Molecule: long non-coding RNA, 1525 nt
Organism: Mesocricetus auratus (golden hamster)
Lineage: Eukaryota; Metazoa; Chordata; Mammalia; Rodentia; Cricetidae
Exons: 2
Source: RefSeq, a predicted model, not a curated record